AUUGAACGCUGGCGGCAGGCCUAACACAUGCAAGUCGAACGGUAACAGGAAGCAGCUUGCUGCUUUGCUGACGAGUGGCGGACGGGUGAGUCAUGUCUGGGAAACUGCCUGAUGGAGGGGGAUAACUACUGGAAACGGUAGCUAAUACCGCAUAACGUCGCAAGACCAAAGAGGGGGACCUUAGGGCCUCUUGCCAUCGGAUGUGCCCAGAUGGGAUUAGCUAGUAGGUGGGGUAACGGCUCACCUAGGCGACGAUCCCUAGCUGGUCUGAGAGGAUGACCGGCGACACGGGAACGUAGACACGGUCCAGACUCCUACGGGAGGCAGCAGUGGGGAAUAUUGCACAAUGGGCGCAAGCCUUAUGCAGCCAUGCCGCGUGUAUGAAGAAGGCCUUCGGGUUGUAAAGUACUUUCAGCGGGGAGGAAGGGAGUAAAGUUAAUACCUUUGCUCAUUGACGUUACCCGCAGAAGAAGCACCGGCUAACUCCGUG
RNAcentral lists this ribosomal RNA (490 nucleotides) under uncultured bacterium. RNAcentral's name for it is "partial 16S ribosomal RNA". It matches the Rfam family "Bacterial small subunit ribosomal RNA", at positions 30 to 507 of the family's 1533-position model. The record is from RNAcentral.